GCUACGGAUAGAACCGUUUGGCUCUAUGGUAGGAGAGCGUUCUAAUGGCUUGGAAGCCUGACCGUGAGGACAGGUGGAGCGAUUAGAAGUGAGAAUGCCGGUAUGAGUAGCUAAACACGGGUGAGAAUCCCGUGCACCUAACGACUAAGGUUUCCAGGGGAAGGCUCGUCCGCCCUGGGUUAGUCGGGACCUAAGCUGAGGCCUAAAGGCGUAAGCGAUGGUCAACAGGUAGAGAUUCCUGUACCCGUCUUCUUUGUCUGACCGAUGGAGGGACGCAGGAGGCUACGAUGUGCACACUGUUGGAUAUGUGUGUUCAAGCAGCGAGUCUAGACAAGAGUCAAAUGCUUUUGUCUGUACAGACGAGUUGUGAUGAGGAGGGAAAUCAAGUACCGAAGCAUCCGAUGUCACACUGCCUAGAAAAGCUUCUAGGAAGAAGAAGACGGCCCGUACCGCAAACCGACACAGGUAGUCGAGGAGAGCAUCCUAAGGUGAUCGAGCGAACUCUCGUUAAGGAACUCG
This 519-nucleotide ribosomal RNA is filed under the name Salmonella enterica subsp. enterica. RNAcentral describes it as "bacterial LSU rRNA". It matches the Rfam family "Bacterial large subunit ribosomal RNA", at positions 1199 to 1716 of the family's 2925-position model. The record is from RNAcentral. Lineage: Bacteria; Pseudomonadati; Pseudomonadota; Gammaproteobacteria; Enterobacterales; Enterobacteriaceae.